RNAcentral lists this ribosomal RNA (305 nucleotides) under uncultured bacterium. RNAcentral describes it as "bacterial SSU rRNA". It matches the Rfam family "Bacterial small subunit ribosomal RNA", at positions 337 to 658 of the family's 1533-position model. The record is from RNAcentral.
UCCUACGGGACGCAGCAGUGGGGAAUAUUGCACAAUGGGGGAAACCCUGAUGCAGCAACGCCGCGUGAGUGAAGAAGUAUUUCGGUAUGUAAAGCUCUAUCAGCAGGGAAGAAGAAGGACGGUACCUGACUAAGAAGCCCCGGCUAACUACGUGCCAGCAGCCGCGGUAAUACGUAGGGGGCGAGCGUUAUCCGGAUUUACUGGGUGUAAAGGGAGCGUAGACGGUUAAUCAAGUCUGAAGUGAAAGCCCGCGGCUCAACUGCGGAACGGCUUUGGAAACUGAGUAACUGGAGUGCUGGAGGGGC